AAUAUUGCACAAUGGGGGAAACCCUGAUGCAGCAACGCCGCGUGAGUGAAGAAGGCCUUCGGGUCGUAAAACUAUGUCCUAUGGGAAGAAACAAUGACGGUACCUUAGGAGGAAGCCCCGGCUAACUACGUGCCAGCAGCCGCGGUAAUACGUAGGGGGCAAGCGUUAUCCGGAAUCACUGGGCGUAAAGGGUGCGUAGGCGGCCAAUAAAGUCAGGGGUGAAAGGCUACGGCUUAACCGUAGUAAGACUUUGAAACUUAAUGGCUUGAGUGCAGGAGAGGUAAGUGGAAUUCCUAGUGUAGCGGUGAAAUGCGUAGAUAUUAGGAGGAACACCAGUGGCGAAGGCGACUUACUGGACUGUAACUGACGCUGAGGCACGAAAGCGUGGGGAGCGAACAGG
RNAcentral lists this ribosomal RNA (400 nucleotides) under uncultured bacterium. RNAcentral describes it as "partial 16S ribosomal RNA". It matches the Rfam family "Bacterial small subunit ribosomal RNA", at positions 360 to 776 of the family's 1533-position model. The record is from RNAcentral.